GAAGUAGGAACCCGAAAGGGGGACGGAACCAGUAUCCAAUCUGGAGCUAACACAGGUGCUGCAUGGCUGUCGUCAGCUCGUGCCGUGAGGUGUAUGGUUAAGUCCCACAACGAGCGCAACCCUCGUCGCUAGUUAAUUUCCCUAGCGAGACCGCCUCGCAAAACGAGGAGGAAGGCGGGGAUGGCGUCAAGUCAGCAUGGCCUUUAUACCCUGGGCGACACACACGCUACAAUGGGUGGUACAGUAGGUAGCGAAGGAGCGAUCCGGAGCAAAUCCUUAAAACCAUCCUCAGUACGGAUUGCAGGCUGAAACCCGCCUGCAUGAAGCCGGAGUUGCUAGUAACCGCAUAUCAGCAUGGUGCGGUGAAUACGUUCUCGGGCCUU
This 383-nucleotide ribosomal RNA is filed under the name uncultured Chloroflexota bacterium. RNAcentral describes it as "bacterial SSU rRNA". It matches the Rfam family "Bacterial small subunit ribosomal RNA", at positions 988 to 1382 of the family's 1533-position model. Lineage: Bacteria; Bacillati; Chloroflexota. The record is from RNAcentral.